This 440-nucleotide unclassified non-coding RNA is filed under the name uncultured fungus. RNAcentral describes it as "partial internal transcribed spacer 1". It matches the Rfam family "Bacterial small subunit ribosomal RNA", at positions 338 to 795 of the family's 1533-position model. Lineage: Eukaryota; Fungi. The record is from RNAcentral.
CCUACGGGUGGCUGCAGUGGGGAAUAUUGGACAAUGGGCGCAAGCCUGAUCCAGCCAUGCCGCGUGAGUGAUGAAGGCCUUAGGGUUGUAAAGCUCUUUCAGUGGGGACGAUAAUGACGGUACCCACAGAAGAAGCCCCGGCUAACUUCGUGCCAGCAGCCGCGGUAAUACGAAGGGGGCUAGCGUUGUUCGGAUUUACUGGGCGUAAAGCGCACGUAGGCGGAUCGUUAAGUCGGGGGUGAAAUCCUGGAGCUCAACUCCAGAACUGCCUUCGAUACUGGCGAUCUUGAGUCCGGAAGAGGUGAGUGGAACUCCUAGUGUAGAGGUGGAAUUCGUAGAUAUUAGGAAGAACACCAGUGGCGAAGGCGGCUCACUGGUCCGGUACUGACGCUGAGGUGCGAAAGCGUGGGGAGCAAACAGGAUUAAAUACCCCGGUAGUC